GACGAACGCUGGCGGCGUGCUUAACACAUGCAAGUCGAGCGAUGAAGCACCUUCGGGUGUGAAUUAGCGGCGAACGGGCGAGGAACACGUGAAGAAUCUGCCUUCAACUCUGGGAUAACUCCGGGAAACCGGGGCUAAUACCGGAUAUGAGCCUUGAUCGCAUGAUCGGGGCUGGAAAGUCUUUCGGUUGAAGAUGACUUCGCGGCCUAUCAGCUUGUUGGUGAGGUAAUGGCUCACCAAGGCGACGACGGGUAGCCAGCCUGAGAGGGCGACCGGCCACACUGGGACUGAGACACGGCCCAGACUCCUACGGGAGGCAGCAGUGGGGAAUAUUGGGCAAUGGAGGAAACUCUGACCCAGCGACGCCGCGUGAGGGAUGAAGGCCUUCGGGUUGUAAACCUCUUUCAGUAGGGAAGAAGCGAAAGUGACGGUACCUACAGAAGAAGCACCGGCUAACUAUGUGCCAGCCGCCGCCGUAA
RNAcentral lists this ribosomal RNA (479 nucleotides) under uncultured bacterium. RNAcentral's name for it is "partial 16S ribosomal RNA". It matches the Rfam family "Bacterial small subunit ribosomal RNA", at positions 28 to 523 of the family's 1533-position model. The record is from RNAcentral.